RNAcentral lists this ribosomal RNA (412 nucleotides) under uncultured bacterium. Its description in RNAcentral is "bacterial SSU rRNA". It matches the Rfam family "Bacterial small subunit ribosomal RNA", at positions 917 to 1333 of the family's 1533-position model. The record is from RNAcentral.
GGGCCCGCACAAGCGGUGGAGCAUGUGGUUUAAUUCGAUGCAACGCGAAGAACCUUACCAGGGCUUGACAUACUGCAGAUCUUUUUGAGAAAGAAGAGUGCCUUCGGGAAUGCAGAUACAGGUGGUGCAUGGCUGUCGUCAGCUCGUGUCGUGAGAUGUUGGGUUAAGUCCCGCAACGAGCGCAACCCUUAUUUUUAGUUACCAACUUGUUGGGUUCUCUAGAAAGACUGCCGGUGACAAACCGGAGGAAGGUGAGGAUGACGUCAAGUCAGCAUGCCCCUUAUGUCCUGGGCUACACACGUGCUACAAUGGUUAAGACAAAGAGUCGCGAGUUCGUGAGAACCAGCUAAUCUCGUAAACUUAGCCUAAGUUCAGAUUGUAGGCUGCAACUCGCCUACAUGAAGUUGGAAUC